UGAGUUGCAGGGGGUGGAGGGGUGCUUACCAAUUGGAGAAGGGAGAUAGGUGAAUAAGGAACUAAUAGAUGUGAAGAGGUGUAGUGUGUCGGUUUGAACACCUUUUCCCCCCGUUGUGUUGAAAUAGAGGAACGUCUGGAGGGAUUUUUUUUUAGAGUGACGCCCGGCGGUGGUGUUUAGGAGUUAGCUAGAGUGGACUAGGUGGCGGCGGCGGUGUUUAGGAGGUAGCAAGAGUGGACUAAAGGGACGUGGCGGCAACCGAACCGCGUGUAGAUCCAAAGGGGUGAACUAGGAACCCAUACUGCCAAGGGAGGGGGCCGUACAUCUGGUGCCGACCUGUUCUUUAACAGUGCCACGACGACCGGUACAGGUGGCGGCCGUGGUAGCGCGAGAGGGACCUUCGGGGCGAGGGGCGCGAGGUAAAACUAUCAGUGGCGUCCCUUGCUGAUGUUCUCUUUCUGCGUGUUCCACAGGCUCUACGCGGCCCCUACCCCUUCCAGUACGCAGCGACGCGGCCCUCCGUCGUAGAUGAGGCGAUCUUCUUACGAUUCGUUUCUUAAACCUAGUCUACAGUUAUCGCGUCCCCGUCCCCCCGAUGAGCUACCCGGUUUUUUCGGCUCCAAACCAACGUCAAGGGUCUACGUGUCGUCACCACGCCGCUGAGGGUAUACGUGUUGCCACCGCGCUACUGACGCUCUACAUGUCUUCACCAUCACUACUGUAAUGCGCCACUGACACCUGACACUGCAGUUUCCUGUUUUGUACCAAGUCUAAGUAUUCUAUAAAACUGCUACGUACCGAAUCUGCAACUAACGUACCAGGUCUUACCACGACGUACUAUCAGAAUAGUAGACUAACGUUCCAGCUCUUACCACAACAACGACCUAUCAAAAUAGUAGACUAACGUUCCAGCUCUUACCACAACGACGAUAUAUCAGAAUAGUAGACUAACGUUCCAGCUCUUACCACAACGACAACCUAUUAGAAUACAAUACAAAAUCCUAUAGUAAAGGUCACAGUUACAAAGUUUUGAAGAUUAAAGCUUAUCAACUCUUUUACUAACUUUCCAGGUCUUAACCCGAUCAUAACAUUAGAAACCUAGUACAAGAAACAUUACGUUGUCUCCUUUAAUUUAUAUAAUCUGGAAAG
RNAcentral lists this ribosomal RNA (1149 nucleotides) under Triticum aestivum (bread wheat). RNAcentral describes it as "partial small subunit ribosomal RNA". Lineage: Eukaryota; Viridiplantae; Streptophyta; Magnoliopsida; Poales; Poaceae. The record is from RNAcentral.